RNAcentral lists this unclassified non-coding RNA (423 nucleotides) under fungal sp. Its description in RNAcentral is "partial internal transcribed spacer region". The stretch from base 1 to 46 matches the Rfam family "Eukaryotic small subunit ribosomal RNA", at positions 1786 to 1831 of the family's 1831-position model. The record is from RNAcentral. Lineage: Eukaryota; Fungi.
AAGUCGUAACAAGGUUUCCGUAGGUGAACCUGCGGAAGGAUCAUUAACACGUGUCUCACGUUAUACUUUCAUACUCAUAAACAACCACCACGAACCAGUAGCUCCCUGUCAGCUAACCUCUUCGACUGUCGCCCACAUAUUAUGAUGGGUCUUACCCUUCACGGGGUAGGGCAUAUAUGGGGCACUGUAGCACUCCUUGAGAGCGCGGUCGAGUCACUUGUUGAUAGGCUUAUCUUAUAUAAUCCAACCCACAUAUGACCAACCAUCUUGGAUGUGGCGCGGGUUCCCAUACCUAUUUCACCCUCUUGAACUAAUUUGACUAAACUUCUCAGCAUCUAUACGUCGGGAGAAAUCUCGUUCGUGAUGCGACUAAGAUUUUAUCUUAACUAAGCACAACUCUUAGCAAUGGAUAUCUUGGUUCUC